UGGGGAAUUUUUCGCAAUGGGGGCAACCCUGACGAAGCAACGCCGCGUGGAGGAUGAAGGCCCUAGCGGUUGUAAACUCCUGUCUAGUGGGACGAAAGCAGACCUGGCAAAUAGUCGGGACUGUUGACUGUACCGCUGGAGGAAGCUCCGGCCAACUCCGUGCCAGCAGCCGCGGUAAUACGGAGGGAGCAAGCGUUACUCGGAAUUAUUGGGCGUAAAGGGCGCGUAGGCGAUUUGACAAGUCGGUUGUGAAAGCCCAGGGCCUAACCCUGGAAGUGCAACCGAUACUGUUGAAUUUGAGUACAGGAGAGGAAGGCAGAAUUCCCGGUGUAGCGGUGAAAUGCGUAGAUAUCGGGAGGAAUACCAGUGGCGAAGGCGGCCUUCUGGACUGUAACUGACGCUGAGGCGCGAAAGCUAGGGUAGCAAACGG
RNAcentral lists this ribosomal RNA (430 nucleotides) under uncultured bacterium. Its description in RNAcentral is "bacterial SSU rRNA". It matches the Rfam family "Bacterial small subunit ribosomal RNA", at positions 355 to 775 of the family's 1533-position model. The record is from RNAcentral.